RNAcentral lists this ribosomal RNA (320 nucleotides) under uncultured eukaryote. RNAcentral's name for it is "partial 18S ribosomal RNA". It matches the Rfam family "Eukaryotic small subunit ribosomal RNA", at positions 1470 to 1796 of the family's 1831-position model. The record is from RNAcentral.
CCCCUAGAUGUUCUGGGCCGCACGCGCGCUACACUGAACAGUUCAACAAGUCUUAACCUUGGCCGAUAGGUCUGGGUAAUCUUUGAACUCUGUUCGUGAUUGGGAUAGACCUUUGCAAUUAUGGGUCUUCAACGAGGAAUUCCUAGUAAACGCAAGUCAUCAGCUUGCAUUGAUUACGUCCCUGCCCUUUGUACACACCGCCCGUCGCACCUACCGAUUGAAUGGUCCGGUGAAAUCUCGGGACGGCGGCUUGGUCGCUUGCGUCCGACUGCUGAAACUUGAUUAAACCAUAUCAUUUAGAGGAAGGUGAAGUCGUAACA